This 201-nucleotide ribosomal RNA is filed under the name marine snow associated bacterium Adriatic89. RNAcentral's name for it is "partial 16S ribosomal RNA". It matches the Rfam family "Bacterial small subunit ribosomal RNA", at positions 284 to 479 of the family's 1533-position model. The record is from RNAcentral.
UAGCUGGUCUUAGAGAUGAUCAGCCACACUGGGACUGAGACACGGCCCAGACUCCUACGGGAGGCAGCAGUAGGGNAUAUUGGACAAUGGGGGCAACCCUGAUCCAGCCAUACCGCGUGUGUGAAGAAGGCCCUAGGGUUGUAAAGCACUUUCAACAGGGAUAAAAAGCCACAUGUUAUAGCAUAUGGCAUUGAUAUUAUC